Molecule: transfer RNA, 78 nt
Filed under: Phytohabitans houttuyneae
Lineage: Bacteria; Bacillati; Actinomycetota; Actinomycetes; Micromonosporales; Micromonosporaceae
Description: tRNA-Glu
Rfam family: tRNA
About the family: Transfer RNA (tRNA) molecules are approximately 80 nucleotides in length. Their secondary structure includes four short double-helical elements and three loops (D, anti-codon, and T loops).
Source: RNAcentral
UGGCGUCGUCGACUAACCGGUCAGGUCGCCGGACUUUCAAUCCGGAUGGUGCGGGUUCGAACCCCGUCGACGCUACCC